This 497-nucleotide ribosomal RNA is filed under the name uncultured bacterium. RNAcentral describes it as "partial 16S ribosomal RNA". It matches the Rfam family "Bacterial small subunit ribosomal RNA", at positions 28 to 507 of the family's 1533-position model. The record is from RNAcentral.
GAUGAACGCUGGCGGCGUGCCUAAUACAUGCAAGUCGAGCGAACGGACGAGAAGCUUGCUUUUCUGAUGUUAGCGGCGGACGGGUGAGUAACACGUGGAUAACCUACCUAUAAGACUGGGAUAACUUCGGGAAACCGGAGCUAAUACCGGAUAAUAUUUUGAACCGCAUGGUUCAAAAGUGAAAGACGGUUUUGCUGUAACUUAUAGAUGGAUCCGCGCUGCAUUAGCUAGUUGGUAAGGUAACGGCUUACCAAGGCAACGAUGCAUAGCCGACCUGAGAGGGUGAUCGGCCACACUGGAACUGAGACACGGUCCAGACUCCUACGGGAGGCAGCAGUAGGGAAUCUUCCGCAAUGGGCGAAAGCCUGACGGAGCAACGCCGCGUGAGUGAUGAAGGUCUUCGGAUCGUAAAACUCUGUUAUUAGGGAAGAACAUAUGUGUAAGUAACUGUGCACAUCUUGACGGCACCUAAUCAGAAAGCCACGGCUAACUACGUG